This 428-nucleotide ribosomal RNA is filed under the name uncultured prokaryote. RNAcentral describes it as "bacterial SSU rRNA". It matches the Rfam family "Bacterial small subunit ribosomal RNA", at positions 355 to 774 of the family's 1533-position model. The record is from RNAcentral.
UGAGGAAUUUUGCGCAAUGGGGGAAACCCUGACGCAGCAACGCCGCGUGAGUGAAGAAGGCUUUCGGGUCGUAAAGCUCUGUCAAGAGGGAAGAAAGUGGAAGGUGGUAAUACUGUUUUCUAUUGACGGUACCUCUGAAGGAAGCACCGGCUAACUCCGUGCCAGCAGCCGCGGUAAUACGGGGGGUGCAAGCGUUAUUCGGAUUUAUUGGGCGUAAAGAGCGCGUAGGCGGUUUAGCAAGUCAGAUGUGAAAGCCCUUGGCUCAACCUGGGAAGUGCAUUUGAAACUAGUAGACUUGAGUAUGGGAGAGGGGAGUGGAAUUCCUGGUGUAGAGGUGAAAUUCGUAGAUAUCAGGAGGAACACCGGUGGCGAAGGCGACUUCCUGGACCAAUACUGACGCUGAGGCGCGAAGGCGUGGGGAGCAAACA